GAGGGGAUAGCUCAAAUGGUAGAGCGUAUGCUUAUCAUGCAUGAGGUCCUGGGUUCAGUUCCCAAUACUUUCU
RNAcentral lists this transfer RNA (73 nucleotides) under Camelus bactrianus (Bactrian camel). It matches the Rfam family "tRNA". Rfam says of the family: Transfer RNA (tRNA) molecules are approximately 80 nucleotides in length. RNAcentral also lists the same sequence under 3 other names. The record is from Rfam by way of RNAcentral. Lineage: Eukaryota; Metazoa; Chordata; Mammalia; Artiodactyla; Camelidae.